This 510-nucleotide ribosomal RNA is filed under the name Pleurotus eryngii. RNAcentral describes it as "eukaryotic LSU rRNA". It matches the Rfam family "Eukaryotic large subunit ribosomal RNA", at positions 78 to 589 of the family's 3401-position model. The record is from RNAcentral. Lineage: Eukaryota; Fungi; Basidiomycota; Agaricomycetes; Agaricales; Pleurotaceae.
CCCUAGUACUGCGAGUGACGCGGGAAAAGCUCAAAUUUAAAAUCUGGUGGUCUUUGGCCAUCCGAGUUGUAAUCUAGAGAAGUGUUAUCCGCGCUGGACCGUGUACAAGUCCCCUGGAAUGGGGCGUCAUAGAGGGUGAGAAUCCCGUCUUUGACACGGACUACCAGGGCUUUGUGAUGCACUCUCAAAGAGUCGAGUUGUUUGGGAAUGCAGCUCAAAAUGGGUGGUAAAUUCCAUCUAAAGCUAAAUAUUGGCGAGAGACCGAUAGCGAACAAGUACCGUGAGGGAAAGAUGAAAAGAACUUUGGAAAGAGAGUUAAACAGUACGUGAAAUUGUUGAAAGGGAAACGCUUGAAGUCAGUCGCGUCUGCCAGGGAUCAACCUUACUUUUGUGAGGCGUACUUCCUGGUUGAUGGGUCAGCAUCAGUUUUGGUUGCUGGAUAAAGGUCAGAGAAAUGUGGCACCUUCGGGUGUGUUAUAGUCUUUGAUCAGAUACAGUGGCUGGACUGCA